UUGGAGGGCAGUCUGGUGCAGCAGCCGCGGUAAUUCCAGCUCCAAUAGCGUAUAUUAAAGUUGUUGCAGUUAAAAAGCUCGUAGUUGAAUUUCGGGGUUCUACCGUUGGUCGGGCUUUGUCUGUACUGGUGUGUAGAAUUUCUACCUUCCUCGGGAACCAUCAUGCUAUUAAUUUAGCGUGGUGGGAAACCAGGACCUUUACCUUGAAAAAAUUAGUGUGUUCAAAGCAGGCUUAUGUCUGAAUACAUUAGCGUGGAAUAAUAGAAUAGGACGGUGGUCCUGUUUUGUUGGUUUCUGAAUCACCGUAAUGAUUAAUAGGGAUAGUUGGGGGCAUUAGUAUUCAAUUGUCAGAGGUGAAAUUCUUGGAUUUAUUGAAGACUAACUUCUGCGAAAGCAUUUGCCAAGGAUGUUUUCAUUAUUCAAGAACGAAAGUUAGGGGCUCGAAGACGAUCAGAUACCGUCGUAGUCUUAACCAUAAACUAUGCCGACUAGGGAUCGGACGAUGUUAAUUUUUCUUGACUCGUUCGGCGCCUUACGGGAAAC
RNAcentral lists this ribosomal RNA (543 nucleotides) under uncultured Glomeromycotina. Its description in RNAcentral is "SSU rRNA". It matches the Rfam family "Eukaryotic small subunit ribosomal RNA", at positions 548 to 1098 of the family's 1831-position model. Lineage: Eukaryota; Fungi; Glomeromycota. The record is from RNAcentral.